GGAUGGUUAGCUCAGUGGUUGGAGUGCAGUGCUGACAACAGUGACAACACUGAGGUCAUGGGUUCAAUUCCCGCUCGGUCCC
Transfer RNA from Apaloderma vittatum (bar-tailed trogon), 82 nucleotides. It matches the Rfam family "tRNA". From Rfam's summary of the family: Transfer RNA (tRNA) molecules are approximately 80 nucleotides in length. Their secondary structure includes four short double-helical elements and three loops (D, anti-codon, and T loops). NCBI's taxonomy places the organism in Eukaryota, Metazoa, Chordata, Aves, Trogoniformes, Trogonidae. The record is from Rfam.